UACGGAGGGUGCUAGCGUUGUUCGGAAUUACUGGGCGUAAAGGGCGCGUAGGCGGCCGUUUGCGUCGGAUGUGAAAGCCCGGGGCUCAACCUCGGAACGGCAUUCGAUACGGGACGGCUGGAGACCGGGAGAGGAGAGUGGAAUAGCCAGUGUAGAGGUGAAAUUCGUAGAUAUCAAGCGGAACACCGGUGGCGAAGGCGGCCUUCUGGACAGUGACUGACGCUGAGACGCGAAAGCGUGGGGAGCAAACAGG
This 253-nucleotide ribosomal RNA is filed under the name uncultured bacterium. Its description in RNAcentral is "partial 16S ribosomal RNA". It matches the Rfam family "Bacterial small subunit ribosomal RNA", at positions 524 to 776 of the family's 1533-position model. The record is from RNAcentral.